AGAGUUUGAUCCUGGCUCAGGAUGAACGCUGGCGGUAUGCAUUACACAUGCAAGUCGUACGAAAACUUCGGUUUUAGUGGCAAACGGGUGAGGAAUACAUGAGAAUCUACCUUUAAGAGGAGGAUAACAAUUGGAAACACUUGCUAAAACUCCAUACGCCUCUGGGUGAAAAAGUGUAAAACUGCUUAAAGAUGAGCUCAUGUCUGAUUAGCUAGUUGGUGAGGUAAUGGCUCACCAAGGCGACGAUCAGUAGCUGGUCUGAGAGGAUGAUCAGCCACACUGGAACUGAGACACGGUCCAGACUCCUACGGGAGGCAGCAGUGGGGAAUUUUCUGCAAUGGGCGAAAGCCUGACAGAGCAAUACCGCGUGAGGGAAGAAAGCCUACGGGUUGUAAACCUCUUUUCUCAAGGAAGAAGAUCUGACGGUACUUGAGGAAUAAGCAUCGGCUAACUCUGUGCCAGCAGCCGCGGUAAUACAGAGGAUGCAAGCGUUAUCCGGAAUUACUGGGCGUAAAGCGUCUGCAGGUGGACUUUUAAGUCCUUUGUUAAAGCCUAAGGCCUAACCUUAGUUCAGCAAAGGAAACUGGAAGUCUUGAGGGUGGUAGAGGUAGAAGGGAAUUUCCAGUGGAGCGGUGAAAUGCGUAGAUAUUGGAAAGAACACCAAUUGCGAAGGCACUCGACUGGGCCAUUUCUGACACUCAGAGACGAAAGCUAGGGGAGCAAAUGGGAUUAGAUACCCCAGUAGUCCUAGCUGUAAACGAUGGAUACUAGAUGUUGUUAACAGCAGUGUCGUAGCUAACGCGUUAAGUAUCCCGCCUGGGAA
RNAcentral lists this ribosomal RNA (823 nucleotides) under uncultured bacterium. RNAcentral describes it as "bacterial SSU rRNA". It matches the Rfam family "Bacterial small subunit ribosomal RNA", at positions 8 to 879 of the family's 1533-position model. The record is from RNAcentral.